AUACAAAAAACAUUGCACAAAUAUCACAUUGACAUUUGCAUCUCAUCAUUCAACUUAGUUUCAAUGUCUCAUGAUGGCACUUCAAUGACAGAUUAUACUUUGCUCCGCUGUGAAGUCUUUCCGCAGAGGAAAGAAAGAUACAACUGUUGGGGAGCUAAAUAAAUCAUAUGUGGAAAUCUGCAAAACGUCCCUCAUACCACCAGUUGGAAUCCUGGAAUUUAUAAGUUUGUGCAGAGUGCUAAAUGACCAGGGACUUCUCAAAUUAGGGCAGUCUCGUGAAGAUAAAUUGAAAAGAGUAACGUUAAAAAUAGAUGAGUCGGAUAUCACUUUUGCAUUGCAGGGAGUUCGUUUCUUCCGGAAUUGUCUUCAAUAAUUUUGUUCUUAAGUUGGACUCUGGUUAAUCCCUUGCUAUCUUCUUUACUUUGUCGCCAAAUAUUAAGGUGAGUGACUUGGCUGGCGAAGGAUAGAUACUUGGAGAGCCUGGUAAAAUAUGGUGUUGAUUUCAUGGUCGCGUUGCUCGUAGUUGCUACUGAAGACAUACCAAUACUAGAACAGAUGAAAAAAUCGAUAGACAUAUGCAAUACAUCACCUGUAAUUGUAUUCCUUUUGUGAAUUACAUUUUUAUUAUUUAUUUGAUGUAACUAAUAAAAGAGCAAUUUCAGUUCUUUUGUA
Long non-coding RNA from Mangifera indica (mango), 672 nucleotides. RefSeq lists it as uncharacterized. NCBI's taxonomy places the organism in Eukaryota, Viridiplantae, Streptophyta, Magnoliopsida, Sapindales, Anacardiaceae. The transcript has 5 exons. The record is from RefSeq and is a predicted model, not a curated record.